CAUAAUGUUAUACUGGAGAGCAGGAAGAGCUGUGUUGGGUAUAAGUAACAGGCUUUUCUUUAUCUUCUGUGUGACUCUUUGCA
MicroRNA precursor from Chlorocebus sabaeus (green monkey), 83 nucleotides. The record is from Ensembl. NCBI's taxonomy places the organism in Eukaryota, Metazoa, Chordata, Mammalia, Primates, Cercopithecidae.